UAAUACGUAGGGUGCAGGCGUUAAUCGGAAUUACUGGGCGUAAAGCGUGCGCAGGCGGUUUGCUAAGACAGGUGUGAAAUCCCCGGGCUUAACCUGGGAACUGCGCUUGUAACUGGCAAGCUAGAGUGUGGCAGAGGGGGGUGGAAUUCCACGUGUAGCAGUGAAAUGCGUAGAGAUGUGGAGGAACACCGAUGGCGAAGGCAGCCCCCUGGGCUAACACUGACGCUCAUGCACGAAAGCGUGGGGAGCAAACAGGAUUAGAUACCCUGGUAGUCCACGCCCUAAACGAUGUCGACUGGUUGUUGGGGGUUUGACACUCUCAGUAACGAAGCUAACGCGUGAAGUCGACCGCCUGGGGAGUACGGCCGCAAGGUUA
This 376-nucleotide ribosomal RNA is filed under the name uncultured bacterium. RNAcentral's name for it is "bacterial SSU rRNA". It matches the Rfam family "Bacterial small subunit ribosomal RNA", at positions 521 to 896 of the family's 1533-position model. The record is from RNAcentral.